RNAcentral lists this ribosomal RNA (560 nucleotides) under Fusarium proliferatum. Its description in RNAcentral is "eukaryotic LSU rRNA". The stretch from base 178 to 331 matches the Rfam family "5.8S ribosomal RNA". Lineage: Eukaryota; Fungi; Ascomycota; Sordariomycetes; Hypocreales; Nectriaceae. The record is from RNAcentral.
CGUAGGGUGAACCUGCGGAGGGAUCAUUACCGAGUUUACAACUCCCAAACCCCUGUGAACAUACCAAUUGUUGCCUCGGCGGAUCAGCCCGCUCCCGGUAAAACGGGACGGCCCGCCAGAGGACCCCUAAACUCUGUUUCUAUAUGUAACUUCUGAGUAAAACCAUAAAUAAAUCAAAACUUUCAACAACGGAUCUCUUGGUUCUGGCAUCGAUGAAGAACGCAGCAAAAUGCGAUAAGUAAUGUGAAUUGCAGAAUUCAGUGAAUCAUCGAAUCUUUGAACGCACAUUGCGCCCGCCAGUAUUCUGGCGGGCAUGCCUGUUCGAGCGUCAUUUCAACCCUCAAGCCCCCCGGGUUUGGUGUUGGGGAUCGGCGAGCCCUCGCGGCAAGCCGGCCCCGAAAUCUAGUGGCGGUCUCGCUGUAGCUUCCAUUGCGUAGUAGUAAAACCCUCGCAACUGGUACGCGGCGCGGCCAAGCCGUUAAACCCCCAACUUCUGAAUGUUGACCUCGGAUCAGGUAGGAAUACCCGCUGAACUUAAGCAUAUCAAUAAGGCGGAGGAA